Molecule: long non-coding RNA, 502 nt
Filed under: Equus asinus (donkey)
Lineage: Eukaryota; Metazoa; Chordata; Mammalia; Perissodactyla; Equidae
Description: lncRNA (ENSEASG00005025671.1)
Source: RNAcentral
CCUUCCUGACUUGCGACCCCAGACUCUAGAGGAGGGAGCCACGUUCUCUCCUACCCGUUCCAGUGCCUCUGAGGCCGUCAGCAAGGUCCAGUGAAGGAUGUCAGACUAAAUCACCAGGAUGGAGAGCCACCUCCCACUCAGCCCCACACUGCUCAGUCUGGAGUCCUAGCAUGAGAAGGGAGUCCACCUACCCUGGAUUAGGGACGUGAACCUGCCUCAGGGAAUUCCUAAGCCCGGCUCCCGAGAGGCCUGAGGGCUUCUGUAAAUGGGCCAUCCCUGAGGGAAGUGACAGACCCAGACCUCUGAAGACGACCGGACCCUGCCUGCCAGCUAAGCCCACCUUUCUCAGGAUGUCCCAAGACCAGAAUCAUUGGUAUCCCCUGAGAACUUCUUAAAACACAACAAGGAGAAUCUGAGAAACCUUCACCGCCAAGAGGAGGCCAAGGAGAUGGCAACUAAAUUCAUUAUGGUUUCCUGGACAGGAUCCUGGAACAGAACAUUA